Molecule: long non-coding RNA, 3684 nt
Filed under: Capsicum annuum
Lineage: Eukaryota; Viridiplantae; Streptophyta; Magnoliopsida; Solanales; Solanaceae
Description: long non-coding RNA (CANN_LNC018098)
Source: RNAcentral
AAUUGAUCAAUGUACUAAAGUUCAUAGUUUUAAUAACUAUACAUGUAUGUUUUAAUUUUUAAUUUUUAACGAAAAGAAGUAUAUUUUGUUUUAUUUAAAAGAAAAUUAAAAGUCUACAUAGUUGAUAAAAAAAAGAACCAUGAAUGUCUAAAGAAACAAAAUCUAAAACUCCUAUUUGUAUAAGUGUUAAGUUUAUUUGGAGUUCAUAAAUAAUUUAUGAAAAAAAUUAUAUAUCUACCAGAUUUAGAUAAUUUUUUUCUUGAAAAAAAAUAAAAAAUGGCCACUAUAAAUUAAGUAUUCUUCCUUUCUACAACAAUACAAUGGUAUCUACAAUGAAUGUUUUGACAAAAUUUUUGACUUUCCUAGAAAGUCGCCACUUAAUUUUUGAAAAAAGGAAUUAAGAAACUUUUAUAAAAUACUUAGACGAUUCAAAACAGGAAAAUCGUUUAAGAUAGAGAUUUUAAGUAAGUGAUUCCUAUUAAUGUUUUAGGAAGGUGUUAGGCACCUAAAACGUCCGCAAACUUGCGGUUAUCCGGACUAUUUGAAAAUUGUCUUUGACUAACUUUGAAAGAAUUUUAUUUUUUGAAAAGAAAGUAAUUUUAGAGAUAUUUGGGUGGUUAUGCAAAAAUCAGUUUUUUAGUGACUUGACUAAGAAAUUAACUAGGUUCGCAAAACACAUAAGACAAACAAGCAUAAAGAAAAAAGGGAAGAGGAGGAAGAGUAAGAGAUUUCGGUCAUUGGGCCCAAAUCAAUAAGACCUGUCCUAGUCUAAUUGGACCUUCCACCCAUUUCACCUGUCCUAAUCUAGCUUUUGAGCCUUUGGCUUGAAUCUCGAUCCACCUAUAUUAAAUUUACAUCUUUGACUUCGAGGCCAAAAUAAAUAAUUAAAUAAAUAAAUAAAUAAAUACAACAACCAUAAAUAAAUAACAACGGCAAAUAAAUAAAUAGAAAUGAGACUUGGGUCUCGUCGUCGCUUCAAGAAUGGGACUUUAUUAUUCUUCUUCAGACUCCUUAUCUACGCACUAUGAGAUUGUCUCCUUAUGACCUUCGAAAUCGACUCAUGAGGGAUAGGCCUCAAUGGCCCACAUUGAUAAUGCAACAAUGGGAAUAGAGUCCGUUUGGACUCAAAGACGGGUUCAUGCAAAGAAAAGGGGAAGGAAGAUAAGGAGUAGGAAAUAACUCAACUAAAAAUAAUUUAGAAAGGAAUUUUAAUCAAUACAUGAACACUGCAACAUGGCAACCAAUGGUUCAAUUCAUAUCGACAUAGUAGUAAUUUCAUUCAACAUGCAGGAAACCAUCUAGAUGUAGUGCUUGGCAGAACAUUAAAACAUAUUUGGCAUUCAUUAGUCUAACAAUAAUGUCAUAAAACCAAAAGAAAGGAAAACAUUAAGACAAAAUGAACCACGUUCAGCAGAAGAAAUCUCCUUAAUCUAACAUAGGUUUAAUUGCACCAAGCUUAUGGAACAGGAAAACAACACAUAAUUUAGACAUUACAUGACUUUCUAUUUCAAUACCAAGGAGAACUCGCAACAGAGGAUCAACUGAAUAAUCUCAAUGGUAAUGUUUGUCAAAGAAGACAUUUGUACUAAUGUUUUCAUAACUAGGAAGGUAAAGCCAUACGAGCAAUGAUACUUGUAACAAUUACACCUUUGGCAGCAAUAAAAAAAGAAAGCGUCCUUACUUAUACGUUCUAGAAACUAGAUGCAUUCACACAUAGGUAGAUGGUCGAAAACUUUGAAUCUGGGAGCAUCUUAACAAACCAAAUUGUCGAUAAUCUUUAAAGAUUCAUUAAUCAAUACGUAUGUGCAAGGAUAAAGGAGAGCAAGAAACAAGUUAAAGUCGGAUCCUAUCUUAUCAUCCAUUAUCAGAUUUGAGCAAAUCUACAGUCAAUGAUGGAAAAUAGGGGAACAUAUUUGUUUUAAAUUUGGCAUUAUAAACACAUAACCGUUAAAAAGACAGGAUGAGCAUGGAACCAGUCAGAAAAAAGGGAAAAGAAAACAACAACGAUAACAAUAAUAUUUUGUACAAUGUACAAGCAGGAGAUCGACGAUCAACCUCUCCCCUAAUCAUAUGAGAACAUUAGCAGGCAAUGUUUCACUCUAAAAAAAAAGAUUCUUGAUGCAGGUAGGGGCAGAAAGAAUGAAACGACAUUAUAGCGGAUUUUAAUAGAGACCAAAACCAAAUAAAAAUCAACCAGCUUUCAUCACAGCCUAUGGCUUUCAACGUCUCUACAACAGCUAAUCCCAGCACGCAAGAAAGAGUUAAAUUACCAUUUACUACUUCAAAAGCGAAGACGAGACAAAAUCAAGAUAGCGACGACAAACAAAACAACGUCAAAUACUAACCAUGAACAAGACACCAUCAGCCCUAAGCUACUAGACAAAGUCAAAGCAUGAAACUUUACUACGAAACCAGCUAUUCAAGAUAUUAGCAGCCCAAAACGAAAUCAAAGCAUGAAACUUUACUAUAAAGUCAGCUAUAACAAUAUACAAGCAGCCUAAAACUACCCAACAAAAUCAAAGUAUGAAACUUUAUCCUCGAUAUUAGCAUUCAAGACACAGGAAGUAGCUAACAAUAUCAAGAUUAAAUGACAAAAUUAAUGUCGAGGCAGAGAUAACAGAAAUCACCCAUCAAACGACUCAAAACAAGCAUUAAUCCAACGUAACAAUAAUUCAACACUUGCUUCAUUCAGAGAAACCUAUAGCCUUUAAGGCCUCUACAGCAGACAACCCAGCACAUCCUAUCACUAAAAGAAACCUACAACUUCAGAAGGUUGAGAUGAAGUAUAAAUCGUCAAAAACUCAAACGAAAAAGGAUAUUACCUAUUCGGGAGCAGCAAAACAGGGCUACGAGAUGGCGUUAGACUCCACCACCACUGGAAAGUUCAACGCCUCGACUCCGAAAAGCUUCGAGCAGUCGUCGACCAAAGAGCUUAUACUAAAAUAUGCUAUGUUUCUUUUCUUCCGAAACUUUUCCCCUAGUUGUCGAACUCAACUUUUCUCAGGAAGAUCUUUUUUCACACUAAAAUUUCUAAACCAAGAAUUUCCAACCCCCAGCGAAAAAUCCCCCCCAACCCAGCUCAACAGUGCGCUCUUUAUAUAGAAGCCAAUUUGAGGGUAAUUUAGGAAUUUCUUUUCCAAAAGGAAUUCAAAAUUUGAACUCAAAUUGAAUUACCCCCCAACAAAUUAUACCAAUUUGUUGUUUUUUCUUGGAUAAUUCGGUAUGGGUGGACCAAUAGGAUUUGGGAAAAAUGAGUUCCAUCAAGAACCAAUAGAAAUCCACCAAAUAUGUACGAAAUCGUACCCUUAUCCCGAGAUUCGUGAAAUUGAGCCGUUGGGGGUGACACCUAGCUUGUUUUAGAAGACUCGAGAUUUUUUGAUGGUGCGUAAUCGCGGGUUUAGGUCAGAUUUCGCUUGUGUUGGAGCUGUUUGUUGAUGGAGACGGGUCGAAGCUGGUUCGGGUAGGGUUCGUUCGGAUUUGGAUUGAGAGUUGCUGAUGUUUUUUGUACGCUGAUUUUUGUGUUCUUGUGUGUAUAUUGUUGUUGUUUGUUGAAGAAGAGAAAAUGGGCCGGGGUUGGAUUAAUUAAUUGGUGGGCUGGUGUGGUUAAGAAUGGGCUGCUGAUUAGUUCUAUGUGGCCCAAUGUAAAAUAAAUAGGGGUAGAAAUUUGAUAAUUUUAAAAAUGAC